GCGAGUGGCGGACGGGUGAGGAAUACAUCGGAAUCUACUCUGUCGUGGGGGAUAACGUAGGGAAACUUACGCUAAUACCGCAUACGACCUACGGGUGAAAGCAGGGGAUCUUCGGACCUUGCGCGAUUGAAUGAGCCGAUGUCGGAUUAGCUAGUUGGCGGGGUAAAGGCCCACCAAGGCGACGAUCCGUAGCUGGUCUGAGAGGAUGAUCAGCCACACUGGAACUGAGACACGGUCCAGACUCCUACGGGAGGCAGCAGUGGGGAAUAUUGGACAAUGGGCGCAAGCCUGAUCCAGCCAUACCGCGUGGGUGAAGAAGGCCUUCGGGUUGUAAAGCCCUUUUGUUGGGAAAGAAAUCCAGCUGGCUAAUACCCGGUUGGAUGACGGUACCCAAAGAAUAAGCACCGGCUAACUUCGUGCCAGCAGCCGCGGUAAUACGAAGGGUGCAAGCGUUACUCGGAAUUACUGGGCGUAAAGCGUGCGUAGGUGGUCGUUUAAGUCCGUUGUGAAAGCCCUGGGCUCAACCUGGGAACUGCAGUGGAUACUGGGCGACUAGAGUGUGGUAGAGGGUAGCGGAAUUCCUGGUGUAGCAGUGA
RNAcentral lists this ribosomal RNA (596 nucleotides) under Stenotrophomonas maltophilia. RNAcentral's name for it is "bacterial SSU rRNA". It matches the Rfam family "Bacterial small subunit ribosomal RNA", at positions 91 to 684 of the family's 1533-position model. The record is from RNAcentral. Lineage: Bacteria; Pseudomonadati; Pseudomonadota; Gammaproteobacteria; Lysobacterales; Lysobacteraceae.